This 375-nucleotide RNase P RNA is filed under the name Firmicutes bacterium HGW-Firmicutes-15. RNAcentral describes it as "RNase P RNA component class A". It matches the Rfam family "Bacterial RNase P class A". Rfam says of the family: Ribonuclease P (RNase P) is a ubiquitous endoribonuclease, found in archaea, bacteria and eukarya as well as chloroplasts and mitochondria. Its best characterised activity is the generation of mature 5'-ends of tRNAs by cleaving the 5'-leader elements of precursor-tRNAs. Lineage: Bacteria; Bacillati; Bacillota. The record is from RNAcentral.
CUUGUAUAACACUAAAAAUCCUCGGCGUAUUCUACCUUAUUUAUUCCUUUACAGUCCCUAUACCUGAGGAAAGUCGGAGCUCCACAGGGCAGGGUGCUGGAUAACGUCCAGUGGGGGCGACCCCAAGGAAAGUGCCACAGAAAUAGACCGCCAGGAGCGAAAGCUCUCUGGUAAGGAUGGAACGGCGAGGUAAGAGCUCACCAGCAGGCAGGUGACUGUCUGGCUAGGUAAACCCCACCUGGAGCAAGACCGAAUAGAGGAGCAGUGAGGUCGCCCGCCUCGCUCCCGGGUUAGGUCGCUGGAGGUGCUAGGCAACUAGCAUCCUAGAUAGAUGAUUAUCAAAUACAGAACUCCGCUUACAGAUUUACUUGCUAC